This 253-nucleotide ribosomal RNA is filed under the name uncultured bacterium. RNAcentral describes it as "partial 16S ribosomal RNA". It matches the Rfam family "Bacterial small subunit ribosomal RNA", at positions 524 to 776 of the family's 1533-position model. The record is from RNAcentral.
UACAGAGGGUGCAAGCGUUGUUCGGAAUUAUUGGGCGUAAAGCGCGUGUAGGCGGCUUUGCAAGUCGGGUGUGAAAGCCCUCAGCUCAACUGAGGAAGUGCGCCCGAAACUGCAGAGCUUGAGUACCGGAGAGGAUGGCGGAAUUCCCCAAGUAGAGGUGAAAUUCGUAGAUAUGGGGAGGAACACCGGUGGCGAAGGCGGCCAUCUGGACGGAUACUGACGUUGAGACGCGAAAGCGUGGGUAGCAAACAGG